AGGUGGGGAUGACGUCAAAUCAUCAUGCCCUUUAUGUCCUGGGCUACACACGUACUACAAUGGCUGUAACAGAGAGAAGCAACACCGCGAGGUAGAGCGAAACUCCAAAAGCAGUCUCAGUUCGGAUUGAAGGCUGAAAUUCGCCUUCAUGAAGCCGGAAUUGCUAGUAAUGGCAGGUCAGCAUACUGCCGUGAAUACGUUCCCGGGCCUUGUACACACCGCCCGUCACACCAUGAGAGUUGGGAAUACCCGAAGCCUGUGAGCCAACUGUAAAGAGGCAGCAGUCGAAGGUAGAAUCAAUGAUUGGGGUGAAGUCGUAAC
RNAcentral lists this ribosomal RNA (321 nucleotides) under unidentified low G+C gram-positive bacterium. Its description in RNAcentral is "SSU rRNA". It matches the Rfam family "Bacterial small subunit ribosomal RNA", at positions 1171 to 1492 of the family's 1533-position model. The record is from RNAcentral. Lineage: Bacteria; Bacillati; Bacillota.